UACGGAGGGGGCGAGCGUUAUUCGGAAUUAUUGGGCGUAAAGGGCGCGUAGGCGGCUGUACAAGUCAAAGGUGAAAUCCCUCGGCUCAACUGAGGAACUGCCUUUGAAACUGUACGGCUUGAGGCCGGGAGGGGGUAGCGGAAUUCCCAGUGUAGCGGUGAAAUGCGUAGAUACUGGGAGGAACACCAGUGGCGAAGGCGGCUACCCGGACCGGCUCUGACGCUGAGGCGCGAAAGCGUGGGUAGCAAACAGG
RNAcentral lists this ribosomal RNA (253 nucleotides) under uncultured bacterium. RNAcentral describes it as "partial 16S ribosomal RNA". It matches the Rfam family "Bacterial small subunit ribosomal RNA", at positions 524 to 776 of the family's 1533-position model. The record is from RNAcentral.